GUGGAUGCCCUGGCAGUCAGAGGCGAUGAAGGGCGUGCUAAUCUGCGAUAAGCGCCGGUAAGGUGAUAUGAACCGUUAUAACCGGCGAUACCCGAAUGGGGAAACCCAGUGUGACUCGUCACACUAUCAUUAACUGAAUCCAUAGGUUAAUGAGGCGAACCGGGGGAACUGAAACAUCUAAGUACCCCGAGGAAAAGAAAUCAACCGAGAUUCCCCCAGUAGCGGCGAGCGAACGGGGAGGAGCCCAGAGCCUGAAUCAGCAUGUGUGUUAGUGGAAGCGUCUGGAAAGGCGCGCGAUACAGGGUGACAGCCCCGUACACAAAAGCGCAUGUGCUGUGAGCUCGAUGAGUAGGGCGGGACACGUGGUAUCCUGUCUGAAUAUGGGGGGACCAUCCUCCAAGGCUAAAUACUCCUGACUGACCGAUAGUGAACCAGUACCGUGAGGGAAAGGCGAAAAGAACCCCGGCGAGGGGAGUGAAAAAGAACCUGAAACCGU
This 496-nucleotide ribosomal RNA is filed under the name Salmonella enterica. RNAcentral describes it as "partial 23S ribosomal RNA". It matches the Rfam family "Bacterial large subunit ribosomal RNA", at positions 24 to 559 of the family's 2925-position model. The record is from RNAcentral. RNAcentral also lists the same sequence under 3 other names. Lineage: Bacteria; Pseudomonadati; Pseudomonadota; Gammaproteobacteria; Enterobacterales; Enterobacteriaceae.